UACGGGGGGGGCAAGCGUUGUUCGGAAUUAUUGGGAGUAAAGGGUUCGUAGGCGGCUAAUUAAGUUGGACGUGAAAUCCCCAGGCUUAACCUGGGAACUGCGUCGGAUACUGGAUGGCUUGAAUUCGGGAGAGGGAUGCAGAAUUCCAGGUGUAGCGGUGAAAUGCGUAGAUAUCUGGAGGAAUACCGGUGGCGAAGGCGGCAUCCUGGACCGACAUUGACGCUGAUGAGCGAAAGCGUGGGGAGCGAACAGG
This 253-nucleotide ribosomal RNA is filed under the name uncultured bacterium. RNAcentral describes it as "partial 16S ribosomal RNA". It matches the Rfam family "Bacterial small subunit ribosomal RNA", at positions 524 to 776 of the family's 1533-position model. The record is from RNAcentral.